AUGUACAAUGUGUAUAUAAAAAAUGUAUACAUUCGUAAAUAUCCAUAAUAUCAUCCAGUUUUUAUGCAGUUACAAAUACACAAUUUUCUAAUCAAUUUCGUCUAAGAAAGAAGAUCAAUCAGUUUGCUAAAUGCUUUGAAUGCAACUAAUUACGAUGCGAGCCAAUGCGAGUUAUUGCAAUUGUCUUAACGGGUUUUAAAACAAUCUAAAAUGGGGGAAUAUUUUAUUUAUUAGUACAGUUUUAUUGUGACACUGCUUUAAGGAAAACAAUAUACAUAAUUAAUUAGCGCCAGCAAUUGUAUGAUAAAAAGAAGCAUGUUUAUUUGGAUAUUUAUUUCAGAGUUUGUUUUGUUGUUUUUAUAUUGCCUUAUAUAAACUGUACCACUUUAGUCGAAGAUUAUUCGUGCACUGCAUUCAUUCAUACAACGUGUAUUGUGCAAUAUGGUAUGUUUUAUUCUACUAAGUUUGAUAUCUUGUUAUAUACUUGUUUUUGGUGAUCUCGUUUCUUUGGAAGAAUCCGUUAAUGAGCAUACCUAUUUGAUUCCAAACGAAAUAAAACAGGAAAAAAAUCGGAUUAAGAAUGAAAAAAUACAUAUCAACAUUCCAUUCCACCUCAACAAUUAUAAUCUUUCUAACAGAUAUUAUGAUGAACACAGUAAAAUAAGCCAAAAAGAUGACAAGGAAUCCGGGGAAUAUUUACGUAAUUAUGCCAGCACAUUUGAUCAUAUGAAUUUUAUUUAUGAUCAUAAUAUUUAUAAUUACAACCAUAACUAUAAACGAAAUGAGCACAGGGAUUAUAAUCCAUACAAUUCUCGCGAUCUUCAAAUAUUCAAUCAACGUGAUGGAAAUCAGAAUGUGUUUUAUGUUGCUUCAAAACCUAUAGCUAUUUUUAAUUCUCAACUUCGUAAUUACCAACACGAGGCAAGGAAUAUAUUAGAAUCCGGGGAUUUUAAAUCAGCAUUGUUUUCUUCUACCCCUAUAGUCGAAUAUAAGUCAUAUAUAACUAAUAUACCAGAAAAACGAUUUAAUUAUUAUUCAAAUGCACCGGAAUCUAUUUUUCAUACUCAAGUUAAUGUGAAUUCUCCAGAGGCUAAGCUAAAUGUGGCUAACAACUUUCCUCUUCUAAAUGAUAUAAGCACUGAAGUCAAUGACCAAAUAUUGGUGCCUGUAAUGGAUGAAACAAUGCAGAAAACUGAUGAAGGAAUAUAUUCGGUUGAAGUUAUUCGCACUCCUAACACGACCCAAGUACAUCUCUUAUCCAAUUUACAAGACGACGGUUACCAUUAUGAUCGACCGAGGAUGAAUUUCUUUUAUUGAUAUUUUUUUUUGUGCUGAUUGUCAUUAGUAAAAUUACACUCAACAUUUGCAUACAUAUUCAUAUUUCAACGAAUUAAUUUCAAUGAUACAGAUUAGUAAUAAACAUACUUUUAGGCUGAAAAGAGUCACUUCUGUUUCCGAUUGUUUUGUAUUCAAAAUAUACGCACUUAUAAUACUCAACUUCCAUUUGUGUGAGCUUUUAAUUUUCUGAGUACUUUUAAACUCAUACAUAACCGCCUGCAAAGGCAAAAUGUUAAACAUAUAUAUAUAUAUGUAUAUAUACUUAAACAGAUGAGUGUCAUAUUUAUACUCCCGCAAGUUUCCAUGGAGGUGAAAUGUUUCAAAUUUGCCGGUGUUGGCAACGCUUUACAUUAAAAACAUUUACAUUUUAUAUUUUCGCUUUUAUCUCUAUAUUUAACCCGUUUAGUUUAAGGUGUAACAAACAACCGUUACGUGAACAAAACGAUCAUUAAUUUUUUUUGUUUAAAGCUUAAUUAUGUUAAAGUAUUUUGUGUGAAUGAAUUUAUUGCUUUGUAAUGCGGCAUAAAAUUGUCCAAUCAAACAAUACAAAUUAAUGUACAUACUUAUAUAUUUAAUAUACCAGAUAGGACUCAAUAACUCGCUUACUCUAUUUAAAGAAGUGUCAGAGAAAAUCAUUAGUGACGACGGUAAAUAGUGCGGCGAUGGGUUUUAUAACGGUAACCAUCAUCUGAUAAAACAUGUCCCGGGGCAGCUUCAACAGGUACAGCCUGUUGAACAGGUGGCAAGUAGUCAUUUGAUGGUGCAGCUACUGGUGCUUCCUGAACUGGUGGCAAGUAUUCGUUGGAGGGUAAAUGGCUCACAUCACGACGGUUGCGGCGAUAUACAACUCUACGGUGUGUCUUAUAACGAUAGCCGUCGUCAGCUAAUACAUGAGUUGCAGCAGCUUCCACGGGAGCUGGUGCUGGAGCUGCCUGUUGAACAGGUGGCAAAUAGUCAUUUGAUGGUGCAGCAACUGGUGGUAAGUAUUCGUUAGAGGGCAAAUGGCUCACAUCACGACGGUUGCGACGAUAUACAACUCGACGGUGUGUCUUAUAACGGUAACCGUCAUCAGCCAAAACAUGAGAUGCAGAAGCUUCAACGGGAGAUGGUGCUGGAGCCGACUGCUGAACAGGUGGCAAAUAAUCGUUUGAUGGUGCAGCUACUGGUGCUUCCUGAACUGGUGGCAAGUAUUCGUUAGAGGGUAAAUGGCUCACAUCACGACGGUUGCGACGAUAUACAACUCGACGGUGUGUCUUAUAACGGUAACCGUCAUCAGCCAAAACAUGAGAUGCAGAAACUUCCACGGGAGAUGGUGCUGGAGCCGACUGCUGAACAGGUGGCAAGUAAUCGUUUGAUGGUGCAGCUACUGGUGCUUCCUGAACUGGUGGCAAGUAUUCGUUAGAGGGCAAAUGGCUCACAUCACGACGGUUGCGGCGAUAUACAACUCGACGGUGUGUCUUAUAACGGUAACCGUCAUCAGCCAAAACAUGAGAUGCAGAAACUUCCACGGGAGCUGGUGCUGGAGCAGCCUGUUGAACAGGUGGCAAGUAGUCAUUUGAUGGUGCAGCAAUUGGUGCUUCCUGAACUGGUGGCAAGUAUUCGUUAGAGGGUAAAUGGCUCACAUCACGACGGUUGCGACGAUAUACAACUCGACGGUGUGUCUUAUAACGGUAACCAUCAUCAG
RNA transcript from Zeugodacus cucurbitae (melon fly), 3022 nucleotides. RefSeq lists it as uncharacterized. The record is from RefSeq and is a predicted model, not a curated record. Lineage: Eukaryota; Metazoa; Arthropoda; Insecta; Diptera; Tephritidae. The transcript has 2 exons.